This 394-nucleotide ribosomal RNA is filed under the name uncultured bacterium. RNAcentral's name for it is "bacterial SSU rRNA". It matches the Rfam family "Bacterial small subunit ribosomal RNA", at positions 28 to 410 of the family's 1533-position model. The record is from RNAcentral.
GAUGAACGCUAGCGGCAGGCUUAACACAUGCAAGUCGAGGGGCAGCAUGAGACGGAGAUUCGUCGAAGUCUUGAUGGCGACCGGCGCAAGGGUGCGUAACGCGUGAGCAACUUGCCCGUUUCAGGGGGAUAACCGGUGGAAACGCCGACUAAUACCCCAUAGUAUAACGAGAAGGCAUCUUUUGUAUUAAAGAAUUUCGGAAACGGAUAGGCUCGCGUGACAUUAGCUAGAUGGCGGGUAACGGCCACCAUGGCUACGAUGCCUAGGGGUUCUGAGAGGAAGGUCCCCCANACUGGAACUGAGACACGGUCCAGACUCCUACGGGAGGCAGCAGUGAGGAAUAUUCGGGUCAAAUGGGUCUGACGACUGAACCAGCCAUGCCGCGUGAAAGGUC